CUACUAACUUUGGUAGUACAUAUACUAUAAUUGGAACAACACAGAGAAGACAAGCAUGGCUCCUGUGCAAAGAUGACUCAAAUUUGUGUAAAAAAAACAAAAAAAAC
Octopus bimaculoides (California two-spot octopus) is the source of this 107-nucleotide non-coding RNA. NCBI's taxonomy places the organism in Eukaryota, Metazoa, Mollusca, Cephalopoda, Octopoda, Octopodidae. The record is from Rfam.